Molecule: ribosomal RNA, 274 nt
Filed under: uncultured bacterium
Lineage: Bacteria
Description: partial 16S ribosomal RNA
Rfam family: Bacterial small subunit ribosomal RNA
Source: RNAcentral
AUACGGAGGGUGCAAGCGUUACUCGGAAUCACUGGGCGUAAAGCGCGCGCAGGCGGUCUUUUAAGUUGGAUGUGAAAGCCUACGGCUCAACCGUAGAACUGCAUCCAAAACUAUCAGACUAGAGUCUGGGAGAGGUAAGUGGAAUUAGUUGUGUAGGGGUAAAAUCCGUAGAGAUAACUAGGAAUACCAAAAGCGAAGGCAACUUACUGGAACAGCACUGACGCUGAGGCGCGAAAGCGUGGGGAGCAAACAGGAUUAGAAACCCUAGUAGUCC